This 73-nucleotide transfer RNA is filed under the name Felis catus (domestic cat). It matches the Rfam family "tRNA". Rfam says of the family: Transfer RNA (tRNA) molecules are approximately 80 nucleotides in length. The record is from Rfam by way of RNAcentral. RNAcentral also lists the same sequence under 4 other names. Lineage: Eukaryota; Metazoa; Chordata; Mammalia; Carnivora; Felidae.
ACCUGGCUGGCUCAGUCAGUAGAGCAAGUGACUCUUGAUCUUGGGGUUGUGAGUUUGAACCUCAUGUUGGAUG